GUUAGGAAUAUUGGACAAUGGGCGCAAGCCUGAUCCAGCCAUGCCGCGUGAGUGAUGAAGGCCUUCGGGUUGUAAAGCUCUUUAGUCCACGAAUAUAAUGACUGUAGUGGAAGAAUAAGCCCCGGCUAACUCCGUGCCAGCAGCCGCGGUAAUACGAAGGGGGCGAGCGUUAUUCGGAAUCACUGGGCGUAAAGCGUGCGUAGGCUGUUUUGUAAGUCAGAAGUGAAAGCCCAGGGCUUAACCCUGGAAUUGCUUUUGAAACUACAAGACUCGAAUUCGGGAGAGGAUAGCGGAAUUGUCAGUGUAGCAGUGAAAUGCGUAGAUAUUGACAGGAGCACCAGUGGCGCAAGCGGCUAUCUGGACCGAUAUUGACGCUGAGGCACGAAAGCGUGGGGAGCAAACAGGAUUAGAAACCCGCGUAGUCC
Molecule: ribosomal RNA, 425 nt
Filed under: uncultured bacterium
Lineage: Bacteria
Description: partial 16S ribosomal RNA
Rfam family: Bacterial small subunit ribosomal RNA
Source: RNAcentral